This is a long non-coding RNA of Gordionus sp. m RMFG-2023, 821 nucleotides long. RefSeq lists it as uncharacterized. NCBI's taxonomy places the organism in Eukaryota, Metazoa, Nematomorpha, Gordioida, Chordodea, Parachordodidae. The record is from RefSeq and is a predicted model, not a curated record. The transcript has 6 exons.
UUUAUCAGAUUACUCCCCGUAAUUACACUGAUGCCAGUGUAGAGCUCACAAUUCUUCUUAAACAUACAUAUCAUAGUAAAAUUACCAAAUUUAAAGUUAAAAUGGUUUCGAAGUUAUAUUUUUUUGUGUGUAACAGCAUGCUCCUCCCUAAUCUAGGUGCCCCAAUAAAAUAUGUGUUAGAAGUGUUGUCGAUUAUGGCCUAUAUUUAUAUUUGUGUUAUAUAGGGAGAUUUUUUUUAAAUAAUUUUUUUACCAUCUUAUCCUAAUUUAUGACUUUUUAUUUCAAAUUUAACCCAGAUCCUACUUGAUGCAUGCCUUUUAUUUUUUAAUUAUAAAAUCUUUUAUCCUAAUUUUUAUAAUUUUUUAAAUUUAUUUUAUUUUAAAAAUUUGCCUUAUUUAUGUUUAAUAUAUUUUCAUUUUUAAAUUCAUUAUUUAGUUGAUCUUCCGGAUUGUGAGAAGGAAAUUGAAACUGACGAUAUUCGAGAAUAUAUUCUCAUUAAAAACGCUCUUAACUCAAUCUAUUUAAGUUCAAGUAAAUCCCAAAAUAUCGAUGUUAGUAAAGUUUGGAUUAAACUUUCUUAUGCCAAAUCUAUAAUUGAACUUUCAUGCAAGAAUGAUACUAUUUUCAAUGGAAUUGAGGCGAAAAGAUUAGUUGAAGUAUUAUCUACAAAUAUAGCUGUUGCUAAGAAAAAUAAAUGCAAACGAAAUUCUACGAAUUUAGAAAAAUCACGAGGCCAAGGAUAGGGUAGAUGGGACAUAUGCCUAAACUCUAGACUGUAUUAAUGUCUCAUUGCCGUACAACUCUCGCUUCAGUUAGCGAAU